GGAUGUAAAGGAAAUCUGGCUGUGACAUGUCACCUCACUGAUCACCAGGGUUGAUUUUGCUGAUAUGGCUGGCUAGGUGAGUGUUUUCUUUCUCUUUUACUGCUGCUCGUGCAUAUCUUCCAAAGCUACAUGCUCUGUCUAAGAAAAUGAUCUUCCCAGUUAAAGGAGGACCAUUUUUCAGUCAAGGAUAUACAAGUAGCUGUGCUCCCCUGCUAGAACCUCCCCACCACCACCACCACACACACAAAAAAGCAGCUCUAAAUAACCCAUAAUAGUUCCACAUCAUCAAAACAAGAAAUUCAACACCUUUAGCAUGAUAUUGG
This is an unclassified non-coding RNA of Ictidomys tridecemlineatus (thirteen-lined ground squirrel), 323 nucleotides long. Its record names the gene 7SK. It matches the Rfam family "7SK RNA". Rfam says of the family: 7SK was discovered as an abundant small nuclear RNA in the mid-70s but a possible function has only recently been suggested. Two independent studies have found that 7SK RNA binds the CDK9/cyclin T complex (known as elongation factor P-TEFb). Lineage: Eukaryota; Metazoa; Chordata; Mammalia; Rodentia; Sciuridae. The record is from Ensembl.